RNAcentral lists this ribosomal RNA (460 nucleotides) under uncultured bacterium. Its description in RNAcentral is "partial 16S ribosomal RNA". It matches the Rfam family "Bacterial small subunit ribosomal RNA", at positions 338 to 795 of the family's 1533-position model. The record is from RNAcentral.
CCUACGGGAGGCAGCAGUGAGGAAUAUUGGUCAAUGGACGAGAGUCUGAACCAGCCAAGUAGCGUGAAGGAUGACUGCCCUAUGGGUUGUAAACUUCUUUUAUAUGGGAAUAAAAUGUUCCACGUGUGGGAUUUUGUAUGUACCAUAUGAAUAAGGAUCGGCUAACUCCGUGCCAGCAGCCGCGGUAAUACGGAGGAUCCGAGCGUUAUCCGGAUUUAUUGGGUUUAAAGGGAGCGUAGGUGGAUUGUUAAGUCAGUUGUGAAAGUUUGCGGCUCAACCGUAAAAUUGCAGUUGAAACUGGCAGUCUUGAGUACAGUAGAGGUGAGCGGAAUUCGUGGUGUAGCGGUGAAAUGCUUAGAUAUCACGAAGAACUCCGAUUGCGAAGGCAGUUCACUGGACUGCAACUGACACUGAGGCUCGAAAGUGAGGGUAUCAAACAGGAUUAGAUACCCGAGUAGUC